CAGCCGCCGCGGUAAUACGUAGGUGGCAAGCGUUGUCCGGAUUUAUUGGGUUUAAAGGGUGCGUAGGCGGCCUAUUAAGUCAGUGCUGAAAUAUCCCGGCUUAACCGGGAGGGUGGCAUUGAUACUGAUGGGCUUGAGUAGAGUUGAGGUUGGCGGAAUUGACGGUGUAGCGGUGAAAUGCUUAGAUAUCGUCAAGAACACCUAUUGCGAAGGCAGCUAACUAAGCUCAAACUGACGCUGAGGCACGAUAGUGUGGGGAUCAAACAGGAUUAGAUACCCUGGUAGUCCACACUGUAAACGUUGAUUACUCGCUGUUUGCGAUACACUGCAAGCGGCUUAGCGAAAGCGAUAAGUAAUCCACCUGGGUAGUACGCCGGCAACGGUGAAACUCAAAGGAAUUGACGG
RNAcentral lists this ribosomal RNA (405 nucleotides) under uncultured soil bacterium. Its description in RNAcentral is "bacterial SSU rRNA". It matches the Rfam family "Bacterial small subunit ribosomal RNA", at positions 509 to 916 of the family's 1533-position model. The record is from RNAcentral.